UUCAUCGCAAGGUCAUUCCAAGGUGUCAGAGUUUAACUCUGAGCCAGAAGUUGCCACAAGCCAGCAUGUUUCUCCCAAUGAUGAAUGGCCUUCUAUUGAGCACCCACCAGCUAUGUCAUCUGUCUUAGAGGGAUCAGCACAGUCUGACCUCUAUACAAAACCAGCACACUCUGACCUCUAUACAAAACCAGCACACUCUGAACUCUAUACAAAUCCAUCUAACUUGUCUGUGGAUAGAACAGACCAACAAAUAGAGGCCCAGUUAGAUGAGGUCGAGGAAGAAGAGGAUGGUCCUCAUGAAAUCCCGAAAACGAACCAUGUUGGAUCUGCC
RNAcentral lists this long non-coding RNA (331 nucleotides) under Citrus maxima (pomelo). RNAcentral's name for it is "long non-coding RNA (CMAX_LNC001114)". Lineage: Eukaryota; Viridiplantae; Streptophyta; Magnoliopsida; Sapindales; Rutaceae. The record is from RNAcentral.